Molecule: transfer RNA, 73 nt
Filed under: Bos taurus (domestic cattle)
Lineage: Eukaryota; Metazoa; Chordata; Mammalia; Artiodactyla; Bovidae
Also listed under: 5 other names
Rfam family: tRNA
About the family: Transfer RNA (tRNA) molecules are approximately 80 nucleotides in length. Their secondary structure includes four short double-helical elements and three loops (D, anti-codon, and T loops). Further hydrogen bonds mediate the characteristic L-shaped molecular structure. tRNAs have two regions of fundamental functional importance: the anti-codon, which is responsible for specific mRNA codon recognition, and the 3' end, to which the tRNAs corresponding amino acid is attached (by aminoacyl-tRNA synthetases). tRNAs cope with the degeneracy of the genetic code in two manners: having more than one tRNA (with a specific anti-codon) for a particular amino acid; and 'wobble' base-pairing, i.e. permitting non-standard base-pairing at the 3rd anti-codon position.
Source: Rfam by way of RNAcentral
UCCCUGGUGGUCCAGCGGGUAAGACUUUGCGCUCCCAAUGCAGGGGGCCUGGGUUCAAUCCCUGGUCGGGGGU